Molecule: transfer RNA, 72 nt
Filed under: Salvia splendens (bonfire salvia)
Lineage: Eukaryota; Viridiplantae; Streptophyta; Magnoliopsida; Lamiales; Lamiaceae
Rfam family: tRNA
About the family: Transfer RNA (tRNA) molecules are approximately 80 nucleotides in length. Their secondary structure includes four short double-helical elements and three loops (D, anti-codon, and T loops).
Source: Rfam by way of RNAcentral
GCGUUUGUAGUCCAACGGUUAGGAUAAUUGUCUUCCAAGCAAUAAACCCGAGUUCGACUGUCGAGAAAUGCA